AGCAGCCGCGGUAAUUCCAGCUCCAAUAGCGUAUAUUAAAGUUGUUGCAGUUAAAAAGCUCGUAGUUGAAUUUCGGGAUCAAUACGUCUGUCGUGCCUUUGGUACGUACGGGUGUAAUUGGUUUCUACCUUCUGAGGAUCCUUGAUGUCAUUAAUUUGGUGUCUUGGGGAAUCAGGACUGUUACCUUGAAAAAAUUAGAGUGUUUAAAGCAGGCAUACGCUUGAAUACAUUAGCAUGGAAUAAUGAAAUAGGACGUUCGAUUCUAUUUUGUUGGUUUCUAGGAUCGACGUAAUGAUUAAUAGGGAUAGUUGGGGGCAUUAGUAUUCAAUUGUCAGAGGUGAAAUUCUUGGAUUUAUUGAAGACUAACUACUGCGAAAGCAUUUGCCAAGGAUGUUUUCAUUAAUCAAGAACGAAAGUUAGGGGGUCGAAGACGAUCAGAUACCGUCGUAGUCUUAACCAUAAACUAUGCCGACUAGGGAUCGGAUGAUGUUAAUUUUUUAAUGACUCAUUCGGCGCCUUA
RNAcentral lists this small RNA (520 nucleotides) under uncultured Glomus. RNAcentral describes it as "SSU rRNA". It matches the Rfam family "Eukaryotic small subunit ribosomal RNA", at positions 569 to 1090 of the family's 1831-position model. Lineage: Eukaryota; Fungi; Glomeromycota; Glomeromycetes; Glomerales; Glomeraceae. The record is from RNAcentral.